CCCUUAGAUGUUCUGGGCCGCACGCGCGCUACACUGAUUCAUGCAACAAGUUUUGUCCUUGGCUGAUAGGCCUGGGUAAUCUUUGAACGUGAAUCGUGAUGGGGAUAGAUGAUUGCAAUUAUUCAUCUUCAACGAGGAAUUCCUAGUAAACGCAAGUCAUCAGCUUGCAUUGAUUACGUCCCUGCCCUUUGUACACACCGCCCGUCGCACCUACCGAUUGAAUGGUCCGGUGAAAUCUUCGGAUCUGAGAGAUGUCUGAUUAAUUUCGGACGCCUUUUGGAAAAGUUGUCUAAACCUUACCAUUUAGAGGAAGGUGAAGUCGUAACA
RNAcentral lists this ribosomal RNA (327 nucleotides) under uncultured eukaryote. RNAcentral's name for it is "partial 18S ribosomal RNA". It matches the Rfam family "Eukaryotic small subunit ribosomal RNA", at positions 1470 to 1796 of the family's 1831-position model. The record is from RNAcentral.